CGAGCGGAAAGGCCCUUCGGGGUACUCGAGCGGCGAACGGGUGAGUAACACGUGAGCAACCUGCCCCAGGCUUUGGGAUAACCCCGGGAAACCGGGGCUAAUACCGAAUAUGACCUGUGACCGCAUGGUUGGGGGUGGAAAGUUUUUCGGCUUGGGAUGGGCUCGCGGCCUAUCAGCUUGUUGGUGGGGUGAUGGCCUACCAAGGCGACGACGGGUAGCCGGCCUGAGAGGGCGACCGGCCACACUGGGACUGAGACACGGCCCAGACUCCUACGGGAGGCAGCAGUGGGGAAUAUUGCACAAUGGGCGGAAGCCUGAUGCAGCGACGCCGCGUGAGGGAUGACGGCCUUCGGGUUGUAAACCUCUUUCAGCAGGGACGAAGCGUAAGUGACGGUACCUGCAGAAGAAGCGCCGGCCAACUACGUGCCAGCAGCCGCGGUAAGACGUAGGGCGCGAGCGUUGUCCGGAUUUAUUGGGCGUAAAGAGCUCGUAGGCGGCUUGUCGCGUCGACUGUGAAAACUUGCAGCUCAACCCCAAGCCUGCGGUCGAUACGGGCAGGCUAGAGUUCGGUAGGGGAGACUGGAAUUCCUGGUGUAGCGGUGAAAUGCGCAGAUAUCAGGAGGAACACCGGUGGCGAAGGCGGGUCUCUGGGCCGAUACUGACGCUGAGGAGCGAAAGCGUGGGGAGCGAACAGGAUUAGAUACCCUGGUAGUCCACGCUGUAAACGUUGGGCGCUAGGUG
This 741-nucleotide ribosomal RNA is filed under the name uncultured Micromonospora sp. Its description in RNAcentral is "bacterial SSU rRNA". It matches the Rfam family "Bacterial small subunit ribosomal RNA", at positions 63 to 822 of the family's 1533-position model. The record is from RNAcentral. Lineage: Bacteria; Bacillati; Actinomycetota; Actinomycetes; Micromonosporales; Micromonosporaceae.